UACGAAGGGGGCUAGCGUUGUUCGGAAUUACUGGGCGUAAAGGGCGCGUAGGCGGUGUGUCAAGUCAGGCGUGAAAGCCCCGGGCUCAACCUGGGAACAGCGCUUGAGACUGGCACGCUCGAGUUCGGGAGAGGAUGGUGGAGUUCCCAGUGUAGAGGUGAAAUUCGUAGAUAUUGGGAAGAACACCGAUGGCGAAGGCAGCCAUCUGGACCGACACUGACGCUGAGGCGCGAAAGCGUGGGGAGCAAACAGG
This 253-nucleotide ribosomal RNA is filed under the name uncultured bacterium. RNAcentral describes it as "partial 16S ribosomal RNA". It matches the Rfam family "Bacterial small subunit ribosomal RNA", at positions 524 to 776 of the family's 1533-position model. The record is from RNAcentral.